GAUGAACGCUGGCGGCGUGCCUAAUAUAUGCAAGUCGAGCGAACAGACGAGGAGCUUGCUCCUCUGACGUUAGCGGCGGACGGGUGAGUAACACGUGGAUAACCUACCUAUAAGACUGGGAUAACUUCGGGAAACCGGAGCUAAUACCGGAUAACAUGUUGAACCGCAUGGUUCAACAGUGAAAGACGGUUUUGCUGUCACUUAUAGAUGGAUCCGCGCCGCAUUAGCUAGUUGGUAAGGUAACGGCUUACCAAGGCAACGAUGCGUAGCCGACCUGAGAGGGUGAUCGGCCACACUGGAACUGAGACACGGUCCAGACUCCUACGGGAGGCAGCAGUAGGGAAUCUUCCGCAAUGGGCGAAAGCCUGACGGAGCAACGCCGCGUGAGUGAAGAAGGUCUUCGGAUCGUAAAACUCUGUUAUUAGGGAAGAACAAAUGUGUAAGUAACUAUGCACGUCUUGACGGUACCUAAUCAGAAAGCCACGGCUAACUACGUG
Molecule: ribosomal RNA, 497 nt
Filed under: uncultured bacterium
Lineage: Bacteria
Description: partial 16S ribosomal RNA
Rfam family: Bacterial small subunit ribosomal RNA
Source: RNAcentral